CCUACGGGAGGCAGCAGUGGGGAAUAUUGCACAAUGGGGGAAACCCUGAUGCAGCGACGCCGCGUGAGUGAAGAAGUAAUUCGUUAUGUAAAGCUCUAUCAGCAGGGAAGAAAAUGACGGUACCUGAGUAAGAAGCCCCGGCUAACGACGUGCCAGCAGCCGCGGUAAUACGUAGGGGGCAAGCGUUAACCGGAUUUACUGGGUGGAAAGGGAGCGUAGACGGCAGUGCAAGUCUGGAGUGAAAGGCGGGGGCUCAACCCCCGGACUGCUCUGGAAACUGUACGGCUGGAGUGCAGGAGAGGUAAGUGGAAUUCCUAGUGUAGCGGUGAAAUGCGUAGAUAUUAGGAGGAACACCAGUGGCGAAGGCGGCUUACUGGACUGUAACUGACGUUGAGGCUCGAAAGCGUGGGGAGCAAACAGGAUUAGAUACCCCAGUAGUC
This 440-nucleotide ribosomal RNA is filed under the name uncultured bacterium. Its description in RNAcentral is "partial 16S ribosomal RNA". It matches the Rfam family "Bacterial small subunit ribosomal RNA", at positions 338 to 795 of the family's 1533-position model. The record is from RNAcentral.